AUUGAACGCUGGCGGCAGGCCUAACACAUGCAAGUCGAACGAGUGGCGGACGGGUGAGUAAUGUAUGGGCAACUGCCCGAUGGAGGGGGAUAACUACUGGAAACAGUAGAUAAUACCGCAUACCAUCGGAUGUGCCCAGAUGGGAUGAGCUAGUCGGUGGGGUAACGGCUCACCUAGGCGACGCUCCCUAGCUGGUCUGCGAGGAUGACCAGCCAAACGGGAACUGAGACACGGCCACGACUCCUCUGGGAGGCAGCAGUGGGGAAUAUUGCACAAUGGGCGCAAGGCUGAUGGACACAUGCCGCGUGUAUGAAGAAGCCCUGCGGGUUGUAAAGUACUUUCAGCGGGGAGGCGUUACUCGCAGAAGAAGCCCCGGCUAACUCCGUGCCAGCCGCCGCGGUAAUUC
Molecule: ribosomal RNA, 406 nt
Filed under: uncultured bacterium
Lineage: Bacteria
Description: partial 16S ribosomal RNA
Rfam family: Bacterial small subunit ribosomal RNA
Source: RNAcentral